UAGGGAAUCUUCCGCAAUGGACGCAAGUCUGACGGAGCAACGCCGCGUGAGUGAAGAAGGAUUUCGGUUCGUAAAACUCUGUUGUUAGAGAAGAACAGCGCAUAGAGUAACUGUUAUGCGUGUGACGGUAUCUAACCAGAAAGCCACGGCUAACUACGUGCCAGCAGCCGCGGUAAUACGUAGGUGGCAAGCGUUGUCCGGAUUUAUUGGGCGUAAAGCGAGCGCAGGCGGUCAAUUAAGUCUGAUGUGAAAGCCCCCGGCUCAACCGGGGAGGGUCAUUUGAAACUGGUUUACUUGAGUGCAGAAGAGGAGAGUGGAAUUCCAUGUGUAGCGGUGAAAUGCGUAGAUAUAUGGAGGAACACCAGUGGCGAAGGCGACUCUCUGGUCUGUAACUGACGCUGAGGCUCGAAAGCGUGGGUAGCAAACAGG
This 429-nucleotide ribosomal RNA is filed under the name Bacteroidota bacterium. RNAcentral describes it as "Bacteroidetes bacterium partial 16S ribosomal RNA". It matches the Rfam family "Bacterial small subunit ribosomal RNA", at positions 355 to 776 of the family's 1533-position model. Lineage: Bacteria; Pseudomonadati; Bacteroidota. The record is from RNAcentral.